AAGUUUAGGUUAAACAUUUAAACCAGGGACCUUCAAAGCCCCAAACAAGAUCACCAAGACCUCUUAACUUCU
RNAcentral lists this transfer RNA (72 nucleotides) under Cnemaspis psychedelica. RNAcentral describes it as "tRNA-Trp". Lineage: Eukaryota; Metazoa; Chordata; Lepidosauria; Squamata; Gekkonidae. The record is from RNAcentral.